Long non-coding RNA from Oncorhynchus keta (chum salmon), 972 nucleotides. RefSeq lists it as uncharacterized. The transcript has 3 exons. Lineage: Eukaryota; Metazoa; Chordata; Actinopteri; Salmoniformes; Salmonidae. The record is from RefSeq and is a predicted model, not a curated record.
GCCAUACGCGUGCCCUCGGCUGCAGUAGCGUACGUCGUAGUGAAAUGCGCUGUCCAAGGGCAGCCUAUUGCCACUGUCAGAGGAGGGGUGGACGUGUGUCGGCUGUAACAGUUUUCUCAUCGCCCAGGUGAUCUUGGACACUGAGUGAGGCUAGGCAGUGUUGGGAUGAUGGUAUGUGGGUCUUUUCACUUAUUUCUCUCUUUCGUUUGUUCCAUAUCUGUAUGUCUAUCUUUCUCCUUUCCCCUUCCCCCAUUUGUGUGUGCAGUGCCUGUGGUGUUAGUAGAAGUUGCCCCCAACAUCUGGCCCAGAGUCGAGACUACUAGGCAAGCAUUAUCUUUGAGCUGAUUGGAUGCAUGUUGUGGACUCCCAUUGGCCACCGCUGAACUUUGACCUCUCCCGUCUCAACCCAUCCCGUCCUGUCCUACAGACAGACAGGCAGACAGUGAACCCAGAAACACACACCCUACUCUACUCUACUCCCCUAUCCUACCCCCAUUCCCCUGUGUAUGAGAGUGCUGCACCCUCGUAUGCAGAGAGGAGGUAGUGGGAGGCACCCAGGGGGGGUCGGGGGGUAGAGAAGGGGCGCAGGACUCAGGCCUCAAGAGGUGUUCCUCUCACUCAGACCACCACUCUCCCUCCAAAAUGACCCAGAAUUCCCGAGAGAGCAUGGGCGUCCUGGGCCAGGGUCUGAAGCAGCUGUUCCAGCAGCAACGCAGACGCCUGUCCCUCUCUCGCUUUACCCUAGUCUCCUCCUCUUCCUCCUCUGCAUCCUCCUCUUCCUCAUCCUCUGUGAUCUCAAUGCGUGGCCCCUCUCGCUACCCUCCCGAGGACUACCUCACCCCCCUCCAAGCCCCCUUGGCCUGUCCUGACUCUGACCCCCCCUCUGGUGGUCUCCUUGCCCCCCCAGCUGGUCAGGGUGCCGGCCCUGUGGGCACGAUGAGGCGUGGGACUAUGCUGCAGAGCCAGCACCGU